Molecule: ribosomal RNA, 756 nt
Filed under: Coccocrater sp. MNHN IM 2013-40813
Lineage: Eukaryota; Metazoa; Mollusca; Gastropoda; Cocculinidae
Description: partial large subunit ribosomal RNA
Rfam family: Eukaryotic large subunit ribosomal RNA
Source: RNAcentral
AUAAGCGGAGGAAAAGAAAUUAACUAAGAUUCCUUCAGUAACGGCGAGUGAAGCAGGACGAGCCCAGCACUGAAUCCGAGCGACCGAAAGGCGCGAGGAGUUGUAGUGUACGGGGUCCCCAUUCCUUCGUCCAACGUUCGCGUGCCAAAGUCGCAUGGAAGGUGCUGUCGCUCCACAGCGGGUGUCAGACCCUUGUGGCUGCGCGUUCGGACGCAGGUCUGGCGGGACCUCGAGAGUCGGGUUGUUUGAGAUUGCAACCCAAAGGUCGGUGGUAAGCGCCAUCGAAGGCUAAAUACGUCCACGAGACCGAAAGCGCACAAGUACCGUAAGGGAACGUUGAAAAGGACUUGUGAUUGAUAGUUCAAAGUACGUGAACCUGCCUAGAGCGAAACGAGUGGCACCGCAAUAGCGGCUAGCGGCGUUCAGCCCGUGUCGUCUUUCGGCGCUCGUCGGCAGCACCGGGCGCGGCUUCGGCCGUGCUCGUGUGCCGCCCGACGCCGAGGAUGCCGGGUGCAUUCGCCGCCACGCCGUGCGUCACGAUCGCUUUCGCGCGAGUUGUGGUCGAGGCGAUCGGGCGGUCGGUAAUUCUUCCGACCGGCAGUCGCUUCGACUCGCGAGCUUGCGAGGGAGCGGUGAAGGAUCCCCGCGCGCAUAUUGGGCCUCGUGUCCGCACGCGGCCGUGUCGUCCUCGCGACGAGACGACUGCUGCGGGCGGCUCGAGCGCGGGCGUCGAUCUGUGGCGUUCGAGUCGGACAG